CCUACGGGUGACUGCAGUCGAGAAUCUUUCACAAUGGGGGAAACCCUGAUGCUGCGACGCCGCGUGGGGGAAUGAAGGUCUCCGGAUUUAAAACCCUUGUCAUGUGGGAGCAAAUUAAACAGUUAGUACCACAAGAGCACGAGCCAGCUAAAUCUGGGCCAGCAGCCGCGGUAAUACAGAGGGCGCAAGCGUUGUUCGGAAUCACUGGGCGUAAGGCGUGCGUAGGCGGUUUCGCAAGUCGGGUGUGAAAGGCGCGGGCUUAACCCGCGGACUGCACAUGAAACUGCGUGACUAGAGGGAUGGAGAGGGAAGCGGAAGUCUUGGUGUAGCAGUGAAAUGCGUAGAUAUCGAGAGGAACACUCGUGGCGAAGGCGGGUUCCUGGACAUUAACUGACGCUGAGGCACGAAGGCGAGGGGAGCGAAAAGGAUUAGAUACCCUAGUAGUC
RNAcentral lists this ribosomal RNA (446 nucleotides) under uncultured bacterium. RNAcentral describes it as "partial 16S ribosomal RNA". It matches the Rfam family "Bacterial small subunit ribosomal RNA", at positions 338 to 795 of the family's 1533-position model. The record is from RNAcentral.